RNAcentral lists this ribosomal RNA (274 nucleotides) under uncultured bacterium. RNAcentral describes it as "partial 16S ribosomal RNA". It matches the Rfam family "Bacterial small subunit ribosomal RNA", at positions 523 to 796 of the family's 1533-position model. The record is from RNAcentral.
AUACGGAGGGUGCAAGCGUUACUCGGAAUCACUGGGCGUAAAGCGCGCGCAGGCGGUCUUUUAAGUUGGAUGUGAAAGCCUACGGCUCAACCGUAGAACUGCAUCCAAAACUAUUAGACUAGAGUGUAGGAGAGGAAGAUGGAAUUAGUUGUGUAGGGGUAAAAUCCGUAGAGAUAACUAGGAAUACCAAAAGCGAAGGCAAUCUUCUGGAACGCUACUGACGCUGAGGCGCGAAAGCGUGGGGAGCAAACAGGAUUAGAUACCCUAGUAGUCC